UACGAAAGGUGCAAGCGUUACUCGGAAUCACUGGGCGUAAAGCGCACGUAGGCGGAUUAGCAAGUCAAUUGUGAAAGCCCCAGGCUCAACCUGGGAAUUGCAGUUGAAACUGCUUUUCUUGAAUAUCUGAGAGGGUGGGGGAAUACCUAGUGGAGAAGUGAAAUUCGUAGAGAUUAGGUGGAACACCAGAGGCGAAGGCGCCUGCCUGGCAGAAUAUUGACGCUGAGGUGCGAAAGUGUGGGGAGCAAACAGG
RNAcentral lists this ribosomal RNA (253 nucleotides) under uncultured bacterium. RNAcentral's name for it is "partial 16S ribosomal RNA". It matches the Rfam family "Bacterial small subunit ribosomal RNA", at positions 524 to 776 of the family's 1533-position model. The record is from RNAcentral.